GUAGAGUAUUCAGAAUUGUUCGAAACAAUACCAACCGAGUGGAGUCACCACGGUGGUAAAAUAAUACGGGUGUCUGCCAAAAUAAACGUCAAUC
Molecule: non-coding RNA, 94 nt
Filed under: Sphingobacterium spiritivorum
Lineage: Bacteria; Pseudomonadati; Bacteroidota; Sphingobacteriia; Sphingobacteriales; Sphingobacteriaceae
Also listed under: 1 other name
Description: SAM-I-IV sequence
Rfam family: SAM-I/IV (S-adenosyl methionine) riboswitch aptamer
About the family: It is found upstream of a number of genes which code for proteins involved in methionine or cysteine biosynthesis.
Source: RNAcentral